This 263-nucleotide ribosomal RNA is filed under the name uncultured Staphylococcus sp. Its description in RNAcentral is "partial 16S ribosomal RNA". It matches the Rfam family "Bacterial small subunit ribosomal RNA", at positions 98 to 355 of the family's 1533-position model. Lineage: Bacteria; Bacillati; Bacillota; Bacilli; Caryophanales; Staphylococcaceae. The record is from RNAcentral.
CGGGACGGGUGAGUAACACGUGGAUAACCUACCUAUAAGACUGGGAUAACUUCGGAAACCGGAGCUAAUACCGGAUAAUAUAUUGAACCGCAUGGUUCAAUAGUGAAAGACGGUUUUGCUGUCACUUAUAGAUGGAUCCGCGCCGCAUUAGCUAGUUGGUAAGGUAACGGCUUACCAAGGCAACGAUGCGUAGCCGACCUGAGAGGGUGAUCGGCCACACUGGAACUGAGACACGGUCCAGACUCCUACGGGAGGCAGCAGCU